Molecule: ribosomal RNA, 980 nt
Filed under: human gut metagenome
Description: bacterial LSU rRNA
Rfam family: Bacterial large subunit ribosomal RNA
Source: RNAcentral
GCUAACCGUACUGUUGGUUAUGUACGGCUAAGCAUUGAGGCAGUCUAAAUAGGCAAAUCCGUUUAGACAAUGCUAGGAUGUGAUGGGGAAGCCCUUCGGGGCGAAGUAGCUGAUUUCACACUGUCAAGAAAAGCUUCUAUCGAGUUUAAAGGCGCCCGUACCGUAAACCGACACAGGUGGGUGAGGAGAGAAUCCUAAGGCCAGCGAGAGAACUAUUGUUAAGGAACUCGGCAAAAUGACCCCGUAACUUCGGGAGAAGGGGUGCCUGUCUAUGACAGGCCGCAGAGAAUAGGCCCAAGCGACUGUUUACCAAAAACACAGGUUUCUGCUAAGUCGCAAGACGAUGUAUAGGAGCUGACGCCUGCCCGGUGCUGGAAGGUUAAGGGGAUCUGUUAGAGCAAUCGAAGCAGUGAACUUAAGCCCCAGUAAACGGCGGCCGUAACUAUAACGGUCCUAAGGUAGCGAAAUUCCUUGUCGGGUAAGUUCCGACCCGCACGAAAGGCGUAACGAUUUGGGCACUGUCUCAACAAUAGACUCGGUGAAAUUGUAAUCCCGGUGAAGAUGCCGGGUACCUGCGACAGGACGGAAAGACCCCAUGGAGCUUUACUGUAGCUUGACGUUGGGUCUUGGUACUACAUGUACAGGAUAGGUGGGAGACUAUGAAGCAUGGACGCCAGUCUGUGUGGAGUCAUCCUUGGGAUACCACCCUUGUAGUACUGGGAUUCUAACCAUAGGCCUUGAAUCAGGUCUUGGAACACCGUCAGGUGGGCAGUUUGACUGGGGCGGUCGCCUCCGAAAAAGUAUCGGAGGCGCUCAAAGGUUUCCUCAGCACGGUCGGAAAUCGUGCGAAGAGUGUAAAGGCAAAAGGAAGCUUGAUUGCAAGACAUACAGGUCGAGCAAGGACGAAAGUCGGACUUAGUGAUCCGGUGGUACCGCAUGGAAGGGCCAUCGCUCAACGGAUAAAAGCUACCCUGGGGAUA